RNAcentral lists this long non-coding RNA (29111 nucleotides) under Prunus persica (peach). RNAcentral's name for it is "long non-coding RNA (PPER_LNC003090)". The record is from RNAcentral. Lineage: Eukaryota; Viridiplantae; Streptophyta; Magnoliopsida; Rosales; Rosaceae.
CCUCUUCAGCUUCUCAACUUUUCAAACGCUUCCAAAAUUCCCGUUGAAUAGUAACAAAAGAAUCCAAUGCACUGAAAAAGGCUCUUCAGCUUCAAGUCUUGAUCCCAAGUCCGGAGUUUCAGUCUACAAGCCCAAGUCCUAUGAAGUUCUUGUCGCUGAUGCUGCAAAAUCGCUUGCUUAUGCUCUUGAAGAUGGAAAGACCCGCUUGGAGAUUGAUUUUCCGUAAGUUUUUUUGCCCUUGUUGUUUGGAUUUGUUGAAAAGUUCUGGAUUUUGAGAAAGUCGAUGAGAAUUUGUGGAAGGUUUUGAAGUAGAUAUUGUUUGGAUUUUUGGUCGUCGAGUUUUGUUUGUUUUUUGGGCAUUAACCAAAAUUGAUAUGCUAUGCAUGAUCCAUAACGUGUUACCGUUAUGAUGUUGAGCACACUGCAAGUUUGUUACUAUGAAUAACUUGCCAUCUAGAAGAAAGAUGGAAAAUAUCUUUAAAAGGUUGAGAACUUUAUGAAAAUUAAUAAAUAGAACAAGGCGUUCGGGAAAAUUGCUUGAUGGAAAUAAAGAACCUAAAUUUGGCUAAGAUAGGGAUGCCUGAUAAAGAAAAACAUUAUCUUGGAGGUGCUUUAACUGUAAUGUAAAAUGUUUGCGGAAGCUUGUUGACUAGCUUUUAUAUUUAAUAGAAAUGAGGUUAUGUAAUUUAGAGACUACUAUAUCAAGGAAUUACUUUUCCUAUCAAACCAUAGUAAUGUGAGUUCAUUCCUGUUUGGGGUAUUCCACUAGGAAAUUUUGGUUAGUUGUAUCUAUUGUUUAGGCGUUCUAGUGGCUUUCAUAUAUUCUCCUAAUACUUGUUCUUUUUCAUGUACCUUAUUUUUUCGAGCUUGUGCCUCCAGACCCCUGCCUAGCAACAUAUCUUCUUAUAAGGUAUCUCUCUUUGCUACAAAAUUAUUAGAUGGCUGGAUGACCCAUCAUGGUUUACACCUGCUUACUGGAGAUUGUUUUCACAUAUUGAUUGUAAAAGCAUCCUGUUUUGACUCCAUUUAGUCUUCACAGUUGUUUGUUGAUUUGUUAUUUUUCUGUCAGUCCUUAUUUUUGAUAUAGUAAAAGGCUUUAUAAUCAUGCUAUGCUUAUGCUCCAACCCCAAAGAAAAGAUGCUAUACAAUACCCUACUAUCAUUGUUCUUCUUUGAUUUCCUCUUAUCAAUCACAGUGAUAUAGCUUGUUGAUGACACAUAGCAAUCUGAAUACAUGAGACAUGAUUUUCUCAACUUCCUAAACAUGUAAAAGGGGUCUUCAGAUGACUUCAUUGAUGCCAACGUACAACUGGCCUUGGCUGUUGUAAGGAAGCUCAAAGAAAAAAGGGAAACGAGAGCUUGCAUUGUAAGUUGAAUUUUCGUUUCAUAUAGACGUUUUAUAUCUUCCAUUUGAAGAGUAUGUUGACAAGAUUUCUUUCUUCAGGUGUUUCCUGAUAAGCCAGAAAAGCGCAGGGCCUCUGAGCUGUUUAAAACAGCUAUUGACACGGUAAAAAAAAAAAACUCAUGAUUUUACUAAUCGUUAAUUCUUUUUAUGUAAUCAAGUGUAACAGAAUCUCCUCAGCCAACAAAUUCAGAAUUGGUAUAAAAUUUUGAUUCACAGAAAAAGGCUAAAAAAAGUAAAAUACAUUUCGUAACAUGCUUUUAAAUAAAAUUUGCAUUUCUUAUGAAAGAAGUAAUGUACACUUGUUGAUUUGUAGAGAUUAAAAUUUACCAAGUUUGUUAUGUGUUUAUACGUUUAUCUUAUAGCCACGAGAACUAUUCACAAAGCAGAUUACAGUUCAACAACUCCUUGUAUCAUUGUUUUCAUUCUGAUUUUUUUCUUCAGCUCGAUGACAUAACCAUAGGUUCCCUGGAUGAUGUCCCUGGUGGUCCAGUAACCAACUUCUUCAGAUCUAUAAGGAACACACUUGAUUUUGACUUUGAAGAUGAAAAUGAAGGUUGGUCAUAACUUAUAGGACUCAAAUGCUUGCUUGUUUUCCCUUUUCAAUUGAUUGCUUGUAUCCCUCUUCUUAGCUUUCACCUCAACUGAAGAAUUUUCAUGCUAAUUUGAUAUUUUUUUUUUUUUUUGGUUCAAUGCAUGAUCCAUCUAUAUAAUAAAGAGUAUUAACUUUUUUUUUUUGGGUGAACAAAAUAAUCAUCCUACAACGCCGGGCACACAUUGAAGAGUAUUAACUUUCAUCUCUAUGUCAUCUCUUAAAAUUGCAGGUCGUUGGGCAUCCAAUGAGCCUCCCUCUCUUUAUGUAUUCAUUAAUUGUAGCACCCGUGACCUUGCUUCAAUAGAGAAGUACGUGGUAUGGUCUCCUCAUUGUUAGCUCUCUCAACCAUUUUGAAGUUUUGACUUUCAAAUAUAUUUCAAUACAUUUUUUGAAUGAAUGCUCUUUCCGACCAUUAAUUUUUGUUCUACCUAUAUAUGGUUUUUAUGCCUGAUGAUUGUAUACUUAUAUAAGAAUUAACUAUGAUCUUACAACUUCAAUUCUUUUAAUGUUUUUUUGGGGUGUCAUGACUUGUUGAUACUUACUAAUUAUAUUAAUUAAUGUUUCCCAAUGAUAAUAUUUUGGUAAGAAUCAGUUUGAUAUGAGUUCAUCUCUCUAGUGAUGCAAAUUCAUCUAUUGGAAUCUAAAAACCACUGUUUGAUCUAGAAAUCUAGAAACAGACCCAAAAAGGAAAAAAAGAUAUAAAAAAUCAAGAAGAUGGGCACAAUUGGGGAAAGAUUUGAAUGCAUGUACAUAUUCUUAUCUAUAUGUUUCAACAACUUUAUUUGCAUUCAAAUUCAGCCAUUUCGAGACUAUGAACUUGAAAUUUACAGCUCUAGAAAUUGAAUGUGCUAACACUGGUUAUUUGUGAUAUAUUCAAUAUGUGCUCCCAUUUGCAUUUCUGGAUCUGUGGUGUGUUGUUUUAAGACUAAUGUUGGCUGUGUUUCUCCCUAAAAUGUAGUGUUAUGUGUAUCCUUCAACAUGCAUGUGCUCUUCUUUUUUUUGUGUGCAUAUUUACUAAACUCCAUUCAGGGAAAUCAUAUGAUCAGUUUAUAUUUGCAUUUGCUGGCUGCUUGAAAUUAACCAUGUACAAUAAACUAAGAAAAUUGUAGUUCGUGGGCAUGUGAAAAUGUGCAGGCAUCUUAUGCUGUUUCCUGGCUACAUAAUCUUAUUCCAGAGUCUAAUUAAAUUUAGCAUAGAGUCUAAUGGUGUCAUUGUCUUACUCUUAAGUUUGAAGUUGUAUGCAGCCUGAAUUUGACAAUUUCACAUGUUAAUCAUGAGGAUAAUCUGGUUCCUCUUUUCCAACUGUGACUCUUCGAGAUUUGCAGGAAACAUUUGCCAUGUCAACCCCGACACUUCUAUUUAAUCUUGAACUCGACACAUUGCGGUAAUCCUUAUGGACCAUACAUCCAAAGUUGAUUUUGCUAUUCUCUGACUAUAAUUUUCAUUUUCAAUUAGAAUCUGUUAAUUAUGCAGUGCUGACUUGGGCCUUGUGGGCUUUCCAACCAAAGAUUUGCACUAUCGCUUUCUUUGUCAAUUUAUUCCAGUGUUCUAUAUCCGAAUAAGAGAGUACUCAAAGGUAUAAUUUAUUUACCUUUAAUAAUUAUUACUUGUUUUCUUUCUUGAUUUAAAUUUUUGGUAACCAUUCAUUUGUUAUCUCCUAAGACAGUAGCAGUAGCACCUUAUAUAGUGAAUUACAAUGGAGCAUUGUUUCGCCAAUACCCUGGUAUGUAUUAAAAGAUUUCUCAUAUACUGGAUUAUUGCUUAUUCUUUAUCUUAACUUUCAUAGGUUUAUAAUUUAUUUAUCCCAACAAAUUGGACGACAGUCCUUAGAUCGUUUAGAUUAUACGAUAAGGUCUUCUUGGAAGAACGAUUAAAGAAUAAUCCAAAGUUAUUUUAAGUUAUGCUAAUUUAUGCAAGACCUGUUAUUCACAUGAUAGUGGUUUCUCAGCACUGAUGCUGCUCUGGACUUGAUGAAGAAUACAUUGUCAAUGUUUGAGAGUCUUGAUCAAGGGAUUUUGUUCAGAAGUCAUCUAAUGCUCACCUUGAUGGUUGGCCAGAUUAGGAAAGGACAGGUGUAGUGGUUACAUGAUAAACAAAAGAUAUAACCCAAUUAGCGCGUCAUGCAAUAUUUACUUGUUUUCUUUGGACAGUUUAGAGUUUGAUUAUUUUGGGACCAUUUGUACAGCUUGCAGAGUGAAUUGGUUAUCUUUGUUAUCUUUAUGUUUGAAUAUCUAUUCUGCAAAAUAGAGUUUGUCUGGAAGAAAUAUUAGAAAAAUUAAUGUGUUCGGGAAGUAACUAAAGUUCUACUUUAGCUUCUCCUUGGGCAUCUUUGUCUAAACACUUUAAAGAUAUUCCUUUUAGUGUUAUUCUUCUUGAUUUGGGGGAGCCUUGAUUUUAUUGUAGUUUAAAUUUGUACUUAGGGUGUUGAUUGACAUCUCUUUCAUCCCAUUAGUAUCAUUUUAUUUAUCAACAAAAUUUUGUUCCUGGGAGAUGGAAAAAAAAAGUUCCCACUUUUAUUGUUUUUAUAAAUUUUAGAAGUUAGUAAAUUCAUCAUAUAGUUCAAUUGUUUCCUUCUUUUACUUUUUGGAAAACAUGACAAUGUCGAUAACAUGCUAUGCGUUGUACAAUUGAUAGAUCUGAUUCUCACUGGACAUUUACAAAGUUUUACAAUGCGACUGCUUUCAGUGUCUCUUUGAGCCUUUGUCAUUUUUCUACUACUCUUGUUAAUUAUCUCCUAAUCAGUUGGCAUGGAUUUAUGUUAUCUUCUGUGCAUUAGCAUUGAUUUUAUGUUUUCAUUAUGGACGCACUUUUGUAACCCCAGGAAGGUAUUGCUGUACAAUCAGCUUGUUUGUGGUUGUUAACCAUGAUUUUGUUGCACUUUAUUUUUCUAACGCAUCCACUGUUUUCUUCAGUAUGAGUGUGUGCUUCAUUCAGCAUGUGGCGGUGUCUCAUCUUUUCUCAAAUUUGUGCAGGGCCUUGGCAGGUAAUGCUUAAACAAGCCGAUGGUUCUUUUGCUUGCGUAGCAGAGAGUGCAACACGCUUCACUCUGGGUGAAGUAUAUAUCUUUCUCAAGCUCCAGUUAUUAGUUACUUUCUGUUAGUUGCUAGGAAUACUUUGGUAUGCUUUCGGGCUGAUUAUUUGUGUGGUGUUUAGACAAAAGAAGAACUGUUGAGGGUCCUGGGACUGCAAGAGGAACAAGGAAGCUCGCUGCAAUUUCUUCGUAGAGGCUACAGGGUUAGCUCUCCUUAUCUUAAACGUUUUCCUUUAUCUAUAGAUAGUUUUUCCUAUUUUUUGUCUCACUAAUUUCUUACUAUAAUAAUAUUAUAAAUUUAAAUUGGCAAUCCCCAACCUUAGUUUUCCCUAUGUUUUCAUGGCAAUUAAACUUUUGGAACUUAAAUAACCAACCCCCAACGUUCAUUCUCUCUCUCUCUUUCUCACAUUCACUCACACGCUCGCAUGCAUACACACACCCUGUCAUGUUUCUUAGUGGUUCUGCAAUCUGUGGCUUUCUAAAGGUUGUCCUUUUCCAUUAGAAAAUGGAAGAUUUAAAGGAAAGCUCAAUUUGUGAAAUUAAGUAAUAAUUCCCCUUGAUCCAAUAAGGGCCAAAUCAUUUAUAUGGAUUCCUAAAAUUUGAUUCAUCUAAAUCAAGUCAAGGCACUCAGUUGGUACGGUGUUUUGGAUGACAAUCUCCUUUGUUUAUUGAAACCUUUGAAAUUUUUCUUAGGUGCAUUGUUAUGCACCAUAUUGUACGGCACAGUUACUGAAAUUUGCUGCUGCAAUCUGGGAUCAUAGUAAACUUUGCUCUCCGCAAUAGAUUUUUGCAAUGCAUUACUUCUGCAAUCUGCUUUUCUGAAAAUUUAUAUAAAAGAUACGAAUAUGUUUAAGAUUAUGAAGUUUCUAGGAAAAAAAGAAUUCCUUUAGCAAUGUUACAAGCUCAAAACUACCCCAAGCAUUGAGAAUUUAAAUUCAAAGCCCAAAGUGGUGUUUCCAUGAAAAAGAACAAAAUUGUUCUACAUUGAUGUAACAGAAUAGUUCUGUGGAUUGUUACACAUUCUUGCUUCAUAGAGCAUACCAUGGGACACAUUGUACAUAGUGUAUCUUGAUUGUAAUGCAUUGUUGGUAAGUGGAGUGCACCAUGUUCCAGUUGCUCUUCUGUCUACUGCUAUUGUCUACUUUCCUUACAACACCGUUUCAUACAGAUAACCUAGGUUGCUGGUUCUGGUUUGGAAUUUCUGACUGCAAAAAUUUCAAACAAUGUCUUACCAGCUGCUAAAUAUGACUAACUGAAAUGUUAUUGAACUGGUCGACUUGAUGAAAUGGACUAGAAAAUUGAAUGUCAUGGAGCACCUUUUACCUUGUCUAUGGUCAUUUUCAGAAGUUACCAGUUUCCCUCUCAAAUCAUUUAAACAUUCAAAUGCAAAAACAUAUUAUGAAAGGAAUAACAAUAACUUGAAAAUCUAAUUGGAUGGGAUGUGAUCUAAUAUUGCAGAGCGCUACUUGGUGGGAAGAAGAUGUUGAGUUGGAAGUAUCUUCUGCUUGGCGUAAUUGAGCAGCUGAAAGAGAUGAAUGCCAGUUUUCCAAUGGAUCCGGGAUACUCAGUUGAGUUGGAUAAUGCAUAGAUGUAAUCAAGGCAUGAUGUUUUUUUCGGGAUUUUUAUGGUGAAAUGACCCAAAAUGAAAACCAGUACGCAAAAUAACUCAUUUGUUUCUGAAGUAGAAAAUUAACCAUUUCUGUAUUGGGAAAGACCAUCGUGUCCGAGAUAUGAGUUGAGAUGGAUUGAGAUGAGCGUAUAAAGCGCUUUCCCCAUAUGCAGAAACAGUUGGUUUUUCUAACUUUUGAAAGAAGAGUGAGUUAUUUUUCUUGAUUUUUAUUUUGGGUCAUUGGAGCAUUAAACCCAUGUUUUUGCCCCCUAUUUAUUUUAUUUAUUUCAUCAAUUUUAUUCAUAUAUUGUAUUUAUAAAGUUUGUUUAGUACGUAGAAAAUGUAAGUAAAAUACAUUCUAUCUCUGCAAAGUUGAGGUAGCCCACCUGCCAUAGCCAACCACUUUAAACGAGAAAACUGAGGGAGCCAUGAAGCAGACCUUCAAUCGAAUUGUGAUUUUCACAUUUAAAAGAAAAUUGGCAUUUGGAUUGCUAAUCUAGUUUUGGAGGGUUUGAAAAAUAGCUGAACUUUGUUAUGCAAGUUCUGUUGACGCGCAGAAUUUGGCCGUGCCCUGGGAAGGAAAGUUGCAAUUGCUGAGGACAUCAGCUUCUAUCAAACAUGAACUCGUUAAGCCAAACACCAACAUGAGCAUCUUUCAUAGCUGGUGGACUGUAACAUGGCAUUCUUCCCUUUGAUGAAUAAUAUCAUACAAGGAAGACUAUGGCUACCCUUUUCAUACAGCUACAUAAUGUUGGCAUCCAUUUGAUUUAACGACACAUAAAGCCUAUAAACAUAUAAUAAACUGCCACCAAAAUCAUGCUAUGAAAAUUGUUUGUGUGAGUGUCUACCUAGUGGUAUACAUUUUAUACAGCUCUUGGAUUUCGGACAUCAAUUCUUAUCAUCAUAAGCUGAGAAGUCAGGUUCGGGGGGCCUUCUGCAGCUUGAUCAGCUCUGUGAUACCCAUGCUACCUGUGCUACCUGCACUGCGAAGCGCUAUUGCUGCAAAGAGGGAUGCAAUGAAGGUGGCACGAAGUUUGCUUGUAAUAGAACCGCCUUGAUAAUCAUCAUCAUCUCCUUCGCUGUAGUCAAAGCCUUCUUCCUACUUCUUACGCUGUUUUUCUGCAAAUUUUCUCCUGUAGUGGUGCUAAGCAGCUUGGAUAAAGCAGGCUGCCCAAGUCCUCCACUGCUGGGAGUAGAAAUGGAAGGUGUACUGAACCUGUCUGCUAUGAAGGUGCCCAAACUGGCUGGCAACAAAUUUCAACUCCUCUGCUUCUAAAGCAAAAGCCUCAAACUCAUUUAUAGCCUUCACGGUUCGAGUAGAUGAUGGUAAGUUAGAACUAGCUUUGGGAUCCAAUGCCCAUGUUAGGAGCUCUUCUCCACAAAAGUCUCCUUCGAGCACACCGCUGUUGAAAAAUCCACUCCUACCACCAUCUGUCGUCACACUUUCUAGGCGACCACACAUCUCACCAACUGGGUCCCCUUCCCGGACAAUAUAGGUAUUCUCUGUGCAUAGACUUGGUUUUAGAUGCUCACAAAUGGCAUCAAGCAACCGCUUAUCCAUAUUGGCAAAAAGAGGCACCUGCAUGUAUAUGAGUCAGGACCGUGUGAAGUUAACCGUCAUCACAAUACAGAAGAGCAAAUAUGAGCAGACCGACAUGGAAGAAUUAUAAAGAUCAUACAAGGGGAAGUUUGCAAAUUUAAAGAAAAAACAGAAAAAUUCUGUAUGAAUUUAAACCCCAUGGCCAAGAAGGUAGCGUACUUCCUUAAUUUAACUUGACCUUUUUGAAGGAAGAGCCAUCUAAUUAGCUGUCCACCAAAGCGCAUUGAUAUGUAUGUGUGCAUUCCAUGCAUAAGAUUGACAAGGACAAAAACAGGUAUAGCUUAAGAUUGUUGAUCAGGGAAAACAUAUAUAUCUGCAAUAACAUAAUAACAUUAAUGAAUAAGAAUGAACAUUGACGUGCGGAUACUUACCCUUCUAACCAAAUUCAAGCAGAGAUGCCGUUUAAUGUCCCUUCUGAGAUCUUCUGGAAGACUCCGGAAAAUGCUCUCCUCAUCUACACCUCGAGUCUCCAACCACUUGUAUUGAUCGUAGCGUCGACCCUUUCCCUAAGAUCUUGUGGAAGCCAGUGAUGGUGCAUCCCAUGCUUAGCUUAGAGUCGCGCUUUUUAAUCCUCAUCUCCUCGAGACGAAUCGUGAGAGACUGAAAGUAGGUCUGGUGAAAUUUCAUUAAAAGUAUCAGUUUUUUUAUGGCUUAAAGUUAGAAACCACAUACAAAGUAGAAAGUAGAAACAAGUUUGCAGAAUUAUGUUCAUGUUCCGUAGAAAUAGUUUCUGGUGAAUCUAAUUGGUGGAACGUCAUAACAAUGAUUGGGAUCAACAAUAACCAACACUUUUCCCCAUUGUGAAAGCACAUACUCUCUCUGGGUUGGGCAUCCUCAUCUUCAACCAACAUUUCCAAAAUAAAGGACGUAUAUGCCUCACCUGUAUAUUUCCAAUCAGAAGGGCAAAGAGGAUGAGCCCAAAAAUUCCUAUCCCUAUGGAAAAUAGAAUCUCUAAAGCAAAGGUACUGGUUUCAAGCCCCUGCCCAAGUGUACUGCAGAAAGUGAAAUAACAAUGUGCUGAAAGUUAAUCAGAUUUGAGAACCCAAAUCAAAAUAUUUUGCAUACUUUAACAAUACAAAAUAGUCACUGAACUUUAAAUGCAAAGAUGAUGCCUUAAAAGUUGACCAUUUUGAAGGAUGCAUCAGUUUCAGAUAUCACAGAACAACAGUCAAAGCAUAUGAUGUCAAUAUGCAACAGAAUUGAAGCUUAUCUAAACACACAAGGAAGAAAUCCUCCCUACACAAACUCUUCCUUCUCUGCACUAACUUUCUUCCGCAGAGAUGUUGCUUAUUUUUAUAAGGCAUGCAUACAGAUGAGGCACAGGUGAAGUAACAAGCACUGGAGUCUGUGGUAUCAUAUGGAGACUCAUGCACAAUGGAAAAGCCAUACCUCAACAAUGUGUCAUUUAAAAGUGACCAUACCUCAACAAUUACAAUUUUAUGGAUUCGUUUCAUAUUAUACAUGAACACAAUUACGAAAGCUGAGUGCUGAGCUUUGAAUUUUAUCAACCAUUAAUUUUCUUGUGUAUUAUAUACCAAAUUUGAUAUAUGAAUCAUGUAUGAGUCCUUGUUUUACAAUUAUGAUGAUGGGUUAGUUCAUGUAAUCUUAUCUUAUAGAUUUUGGCAAAAACAAAAGAAAAAAAAUCUUGUCAUAUGAAUCUUGCCAAAAAAAAAUGAUGUGACAUGAAUUUCAUUUUUCACUUAAAUUAUCAAAGCAUUUAAACAAAUUAAUCUAAUGUUAUCCGAUGGAGCACCAAACAUAAUAUAACUUAGUCAGAAUAUUUAUCUGAAACAACACAAAAUACCUUAUAAAUAAAUUAAUACUAUCCGAUCAAAAUUAAUCAGUACAAUCUGAAGUACCAAACGAGCCCUAAAGUUCAUCAAAUAUCUUACUCGGAUGACUUUGGAGAAGAGAAUUUGAACUUAAGAUUUAUGUGGGUUGAAUUAUCUAAACUAUUAAUUGAAGCUACAAGCCUCCACUUCAAUUACACAACAGACAACAAAAUCAAUCUGAUUACCUAUUCCAAUUAUGAUUAUUUUUUUAAAGAAAAUCUAGGCAACAUGCUUUAAAUGGAACUAGCCGUAAUUUACAGAAAAAUAACAGGUUUUCUUAUUAAUCUAUGAAAUUUCUAGAAACUAAAAAGCAACAGAAAAUGAUAAAAUAAAAUAAAAAAGUUUUUCAUCUAAGACAAAAUAUUAAAAUAAUCCAGCUUCUCCAAAAUUGGACAAAUCCGUCCAAUUACUAUUUAACAAUUACAUGAAAGAACUCUUAUGUCACUGUUAGACAAUCACCCAAGAGUUGUUUGGGGGACUGAACAAUUUUGUCUUGGUGUCUUUCUAUUUGUCCUUAUAUGAUAAAGCCCCAAAAAGUAAUUGUUUGGUUUGUAACAUUAAUGAAUUAUUUAAGAAUUUUUGUUUUUAAUUAGUUAGAAACAUUUCUUGUCUGUUUUCCGUACUUGUAUUAGAGUGGCUCCAGCGAAGGAGCCCAGCCCGAGGCAAGGGCAGAAAAAAAAAAAAAUUUCGCUCCAGCGUGCAGCCCAGGCCCGGGUUUGGUGUGGGACCCACCAACUCGGGCCAGCCCGAAGGCCAAACCAGCCCCAGGUCCAAAACGCGGGUGCUGACGUCAGCGCUGGCGUCACGCUGACGUCAGCUAGGGCUGUCAAAAAAUUUUUACCGUUGGCGCGUGCAAUGCACGCGCCAACGGUAAAAAAAUUUUGAAUCAGCGCGCGCUGACGUCAGCGCUGACGCCAGCGCCAACGGUAGGCUGCCACGUGUCGCGCUCAGUGCCUUCCGAUCUGCUUCUCCUUUCUAAUCCAACGGCUGAGGCUUUUUUGGGUGAAAAAAAUAUGAAAAAAAAUUCUAAAAAAUUCUAAAAAAUUAUGGUAUUUUUUUCUAUAAAUACCUAUCAAUACCCUUCACUUUCAACACCAAUACUCUUACAUUUCAUUAUACUUCUACUAAUAUUCACUCUUUUUACACAACAUUUUCCUCUUUUUCAUCUAGCAUUUUGAUUUCAUAUUUUUAUGGCUUCUUCUAUCGAAACCGGAGGGGCUUGGAGCACAAUGGAAGAUGUUUCUUUGUGUGAGGCUUGGCUCCAAAUUUGUCAUUGUCCCGUGUCCGGCAAUGAAAUGAAAUUUUUUCAUAUGUGGAAAAAAAUUCAUGCCGAAUUUUGUGAAAAAAUUCCGGGGUCUACUCGUACGGAGAUGGCAUUAUCCAGUAGGUGGAAAAUUCUCAAUAAAGAGUUGGGAAAAUGGAGAAAUGCCCUAGCAAAAGCGAUGGACAACUAUAGAAGUGGGCAAAAUCGUACUAACGAGGUAAGUAUUUUAUAAUUUUUGUGUUAUUAAGUUUAAUCUCCUAAUAUAUAUAUAUUUUGUUAAUAUUGCUUACAUUUUCAAUAUGUUGUAUAUAUUUUGUUAAUAUUGCUUGCAUUUUCAAUAUUUUGUUAAUAUUGCUUGCAUUUUCAAUAUGUUGUAUAUAUUUUGUUAAUAUUGCUUGCAUUUUCAAUAUUUUGUUAAUAUUUCUUGCAUUUUCAAUAUGUUGUAUAUAUUUUGUUAAUAUUGCUUGCAUUUUCAAUAUUUUGUUAAUAUUGCUUGCAUUUUCAAUAUGUUGUUAAUAUUUCUUGCAUUUUCAAUAUUUUGUUAAUAUUGCUUGUAUUUUUAAUAUGUUGUUAAUAUUUCUUGCAUAUCCAAUAUAUUUUAAAUAUUUAUUGCAUUUCCAUUUUUUUGUUCAAUAGAUGAUUCAAGCACAAAUGUGGUUCGGUGCAACCGGGGGUGGCAAAAAAAGUUUCACCCAUCAUGAAUGUUGGGAGGUGGUGAAAUUUUGCAAACGCUUCGUAAUUAUUCCAACGGGUCCGGAGGUUGUGUUAAACGAGACGCCACUCCGUGAUUCAAUGACAUCGGAUUCACCUCUUGAUUCUCCUAUGAGUCAAGACUCACCCAUCGAAAAGGAGCCGAGGCCCAUUGGCCGAAAGGCCGCGAAGGCAAAGAAGAAGGGUAAUUCAAGCAAUCAAAAUUCACAAUUUUUGGAGGAAAUUGCAAGGCAAAACGGCAUAAGAAUAGAAAUGGAGCAAAAACGCCAAGAGCACGAGUUGGCCCUUGAUGCUGAGUUUGCACGUGAAAGGGAGUAUUUGCACAAAAAAGAUAUGGACAAGACAGAUCGGGAAACCAUGGCGAUGAAUACAAGUCAUAUGUCCCCUGAAACAAAACAAUUUUGGAAGCUAGAACGAAGGGAUGUUAUGAGAAGAAGACUUUUCCGGGAUGAUGGGCCUAGCAACACGGAUUGGUUAAAUGAUGGAAACCAUUAAAUUAGUUAGCAUAUCUUUUAUGUAUUUGUAUUUUAGUUGUUUUCUAUUAAAGUUGUUAUAAUUCAUGUAUUUUAUUUUAUUAGUAAUUCAUAAUGACUUGUAUUACAUUUCAUUAUUUAAUAAACAAAGCAUUCAAUAAAUUACCUUUUUAUUCAACAUAUUCCAUACUUCAAACAAAACAUAAUAAAAUUAAAAUUAAAAGUACAAACAAGGCACAAUAAUAAAAAUAAAAGUACAAACAAGGCACAAUAAAAAUAAAAACACAACCAAACCAUACUAAAUAAAACAUAAGCAAAGCAUCUAUUCUCCAUUAUUAAUCUUCAUUGCCUUUCACCGCCCAUAGAUGCUCCAUCAAGUGAAAUUGACGCAUUUCAUGAAUAUACGAAGAUUGCAUCUCCGUAUAUCGAUCUAUCAUUCGGGUCAUCAAAUGACCAUCCCUCACCAACGGUUCCGGCUCAAACGGUUCUCCAUUUGGCCCCAUGGGCCUUUCAUAAAUCCGUGUCAAAGCCGUGUUCAUUGGAUCCGGUUCGUAGACCUCUAAAGCAUCAUAAUCGUACUCAUCCUCCACAAUCAUAUUAUGGAGGAUGAUGCAAGUCAUCAUAAUGCUUCUGAGGAUCUCCUCAUCAAACAUGCGGGCCGCACCUCGAAUAAUCAACCACCUGGCUUGAAGGAUGCCAAAACACCUUUCGACAUCUUUCCUGUAUCCCUCUUGAUAUGUAGCAAAUAAUUUUUGCUUCUGGGAUCGGGGAUUUGGAAUGGUUUUGACAAAAGUCGUCCACCUCGGGUAGAUUCCAUCAGCUAGGUAGUAUCCUGUCUGGUAUACUGUAUUGUUGACUUCAUAGGUGACAUUGGGGCCCUGACCUCUCAAUACAUCGUUGAAGACGGGGGAUUGACCCAGCACGUUGAGGUCAUUUUGUGAUCCUGCAACUCCGAAGAAGGCAUGCCAAACCCAUGUGUCGAAACCAGCAACCGCUUCAAGGAUGAUACUUUUUUGGCCUUUUCGAUUUCCAUAAUCACCUUGCCAGGCAGUUGGGCAAUUCUUCCAUUGCCAAUGCAUGCAGUCGAUGCUACCAAUCAUUCCAGGGAAUCCUCGAGCUUCGGCUUUUUGCAGAAGCCUUUGGAGGUCCCUGGGAGUAGGUCUACGCAGGUAGUCCCUAGUGUACAGAGUUUCAACAGCUUGACAAAAUCUUACCAAAGCCUCCAACGUAGUGGACUUCCCCAUCCGGGCAAUCUCAUCCACCUGAUCAGCAGAUGCUCCAUACGCCAACAUUCGUAUAACAGCUGUAAGCUUUUGCUCCGGAAGAAGCCCCAAAACCCCAGCAGCAUCACACUUUUGAACAAAGUAUGCAUCAUAAUUGCAAAUAUCAUGCAUGACUUUAUUGAACAAAUGAGGUUGCAUUCUAAAUCGCCUUCGAAAAUCAACAUCAGAGUACAAAGAAGUUGGGAUAAAAUAAUCUUCCAAAAGAUUCUUACCCCUAGAAUGCCUAUGUCUUUCCACAUUCCGGCGGCGGCCGGCUUGUGAACUAUGGCGGCGACCUUGGUUCUCUUCUUCUUCCAAAGCCACUGUUAUGAGAACUUGCUCAUCGACUUGUCUCUGCAACUCAUUGACUUCAUCUGCUCUACGGUUUCUCUCUCUUCUUUCUCUCUCUUGUCUCUCCAAGCAUCUCCUAAAUUCUUCCAUUCAGAAUGAAUGAAGUAUGAAUUAUAAACUCUCAGAAAUGAAAAUAUAGAAAGAUGUGGUGUGAGAGGUAUGAGCUGAGACUCUGGUUUUAUAGAAAAAUUUGGCAAGAUAGACAUGCCAUGUGGCUUGAUUUUAUUGGAUGAAAAUCAUAUCUGAAAUUUGAAAUUCAUCCGAAAUUUGAACCCUAAUUUGUAUGAAAUUCAAAAUUUGAAAUUCAUCCGAAAUUUGAACCCAAAUUUAUCUGAAAUUUGAAUUUUGAAAUUCAUUCAAAAUUUGAACCCAAAAAUUUAUCUGAAAUUUGAACUUUGAAAUUAAUCCGAAAUUUGAAUCCAAAUAUCUUAUCCGAAAAUUUUAUCUGAUUAUGAAUAGUCUUGACACGUAGGAAUCCGAAAAUCUUAUCUGAAAAUAUUACCCAAAUUAAUUAUUUUCAUUAAAAAAUAGGAGGAAAAAACAAAAAAGUGAAUAGUAAUUGCCAUGGCUAAGGGCAACGGGUGGAGAAACGAUUUACUAUUUGCAAGGGCAACCACUAUUCACGUGAAUAGUGCUUGCCCUAGCUCCACCCUUGCCAUGGCUAAGGGCAAAUGGGUGGAGUUGCUCUUAGUAGAUAAGUAUCCACCGGCUUUACUCUUUCCUUGCUUAAUAAGUUCCCAAUUUUUCCGUUCUCUUUCUUACCUGGCUAGCUGUCAAAAGAGAUAACUUCGUAGUGAGUUAGCUUGGUGUUCACGUCUCAAUUCAAACCAAUCAAAUAAAACUUGACCGUUGGAAAGAAAAUCCAGUACACACUAGGAUUCCUACUUCUCCUCAAACCCUAAACCGACACAUUCAUAUGCCCUAUCCUAUAUAAACACUGCUGAUUCUCCAAACGAAUACCUUACAAUUCACCAAACAAAUUAAAAUUUCCUAAGUUUCUGCGAAGUAAAAGAAACCAUGAAAAGAAAGUCCGAACAAGAAGAAUUUGAAGAAUUUGAAGAAGAGAAAAAACAGAGGAUUUGGAGUCAUGGAGAGCACUGGCUGAGAGGGGAGAUGGUUGGAGAAGGAAGCUCUGGUUCUGUUUUUCUUGCCACUCCCAAAAACCCAAGAAGGGGUGAGUUUGGUAGCAUGCUAAACUUUCCGGGAUUGAUGGCGGUGAAAUCGGCAGAGGUCUCUGAUUCGGAGUCAAUCCGGCAUGAGGCAGAGGUUCUGUUGGACAUUAAGGGUUGCCCUUUUGUCAUUGAGCGUUUUGGUGAAGAAAUCACAACCAGUGAAGAGGGUGGUGAUCACAUGGUCUAUAACUUGUUGCUGGAAUUUGCCUCUGGAGGAACUCUUGGUGAUCUGAUUGAGAAAUCCAACGGUCAUGGAUUGCCUGAAGCUGAAGUUAGAAGGUAUACGAGGUCGAUACUUGAAGGGAUUAAGCAUAUUCACAAGUUUGAUUAUGUUCACUGUGAUUUGAAGCCGGAAAACAUUCUGCUUGUACCAAAUCCUGCAACUAGUACUGGUAGUUUUGUGGCUAAGAUUUCAGAUUUUGGAUUGGCUAAGAAAACCAAGGAGAAUUACGGUCAAUGGAGAGGCACUCCUACGUAUCUGUCCCCAGAAGCCUUAAAUGACAGUGAGCAGGAGCCGCCCUCUGAUAUAUGGUCUCUUGGUUGUAUCGUACUUGAGAUGCUAACCGGCAAGUCCUUCUCAGAUUUAAAGCCUGGUUGUGAACUUGAAGAUUUCCACUAUAUGUUUCAUCACGUAUGUACUCCCAAAAUCCCUGCUGAAGUCUCUGGUGUGGCCAGGGAUUUUCUUAAGAGUUGUCUUGCCAUGAGGUCUUGCGAAAGGCUGACCGCUGAAAAGCUCUUGCUUCAUCAAUUCGUUAUACGGCCAAAGCCAUCGAAAGCAGCUCGUCAUACAAAGGGGAAGGUGGUUUGCUCAUCUUCAGGCUAUGCAGAUGGCUCCAAACCAAGUGCAGAUUGUCACGCAAGCUCUGCCAUUGUUCGCAGAAUUCCGCCACCACCUGGUUUUGAGAUACUUGCUGCUCUUGUUUGAUGUGAUAAACUCAGUACAAAUGUGUUAGGUUCUUUGUUGUUGUAUUCUUUUGAAUUGUAAAGUCCUUUACUUGAAACUAUUCGUUUCAAGUUUAUCAACACGGAAUUGUUCAAAGUGAUUCAAAAUUUCUGUCCUGGUUUUUUGUUUACUUUUGUUCGUACUGAGUUGUGUUUACUUUUGGUUGCCCAGAUUUCUUUGUGCUUUAUUAGCUCUAACAAGGUGCGCACGCCCAUAGUUGCGACCUAAUCCUAAUUAAGCUACUAGCAUUUAGAUCAGAUGCUAAUGACUUAUUUCAAUAAUCUAGACUCAGCUUCUGCACUGGAGAUAAAUAGAUUCACAAAGAUUUGCAGUAACUUUGGGAGUAUUUUCCUUUUAUUGCUUGGCCUAAUUCCGGGAUGGUGGAAGAUUGCUCACUUAACUAUUUUUCUAUUUUUAAAGUCCCUUAAUUGCAGUUAACCAUUUCAAAGUUUCAAGUUUAUAAUGACAGACAGAACUAUGCAAUCACUCAAGUUUCUGUCCAAUUUCUGAUGCAGAUUCACUCUCCCUGAUGAAUGUACACUUCAUUUGAUUUGCUUCUUCUUAUUAAAACAGCUUUUUUGGUUGGUACUUGCUGCUAUGCAUGGGAUUUUCCCAUAGCUGGUGCUUGUUACAUUCUGGAUUAGUUUUUGACUUGCUUUAUAUCUGUUGUUGGUCUUGGUCUUUUAUGUUUAUAGGAGAGGCUUUCUUGUUUUUGCAGAUUCGAAUUCAUUUUUCUUUUUCCAGAUAAUUGUGAUUUAUUUCUUCCCCUUCUUCUACUUGUUCAAUUUACUUGGUGAUACAGUUGGUUCAUUACUUUACCAUUAAUGAAGCUUGUUUCAGCCUCUCUCCGCCUCAUUAUGUUUCGAGCUUAUAAGCUACUAGGAUUUGAACCACAGGGGCCCUAUAUCCAUCAACAUGCUAGGGUGCUCUUGCUACUAAUUCUGAGAUCAUUCUUAUACAAGUUACCAUUGCAUGAACAAAAUUUAAAGAACAAGAGAGACUACACCAAUUAAUGUACGUAUAAGCUGGACAUAAUACACAGCCUAGACUAGCUAGCCUGUAACCUUCUGUAGUCUGUGGUAGCCUGUAACCUUAUGGAGACUCAUCUGUAGUCUGUGGUAUCAUCACCACAGGCAGUAACAGCAAGGAGGCUUGCAAUGGGAAAAUGAAGUUGAACUAAUCUCAGCAGGAAAAAAAAAAGUAUAAAUAAAAAGAAUGGUGUAAUUACUCACUUUUUCCUGGAAUUAGAACAUCAGCUAUAGCAUACAUAUAUCAGAGUAUAAUACCUCAAGCAGAACAAAAAUUUGGAGAAAAUUUCUGUGGAUGCAAUGACCUUUUGAACUUAUAGCCUCUGUAAAGAUUCCAAAAUUAAAUGGUGGAUUGUCACCUUCAGCGGUGCAGCUCUUAAUAAGAACAUCCACUCUGAUAUAUGACCAUUCUUUGUAUCCUGGGACAUUUUCACAAAUGCCACAGUACAAGUAGUUUAUCCUACAUUUUUUAAUUUCAAUACAAGCCUCCCCGCCAGCAUGUGUCAUAGCACUCUACAGCUAACAAGUACCAGGCAGCCCCAGUGACCUGUAAACUUUUAUCGAACAAUGGUUGAAAAUUUUCAAUAAAUUGGUUAAGACACCCUACAAGAUACUUGAGCUACUAGUAUUCAGAAAAUAAAAAUGCAUGAGAAGUAAAGGCUUAAACCAUAAUAAAAACUUAAGCUUGUCAUGAAGAUUCAGUCAGAUCAUUCCACUGUGUACGUAACUUGGAAUAAAUGCUGUGCACUGUCCUUGUUCAAAAUAUUACAUUUUUGUAUGCAACUAACACUUUGCUGUGCUGGUCAUAUCAAUCUUACUGCAUUAGAACUGUUAAACAAGCACUGGACCAAAAAGCUUAAAUUGUUAGGGAAUGGGCGUCUAGCUAACACCCUCCCCCACGUGCAGCCUCAUCUUGUAAGUAGAGAAGCGAAGAGAUAGGACACAUGGAAACAUAUAGGUAUAGCCCCACCCGCUACUGCACCUUGCAAACCAACAAAGAACAAGGGAAUGGGGUUGGAGGUUUCAAACUCAUCACGUUCUGCAACCAGACCUCUGACGCCAUAUUAGACAACUACUAAGACUUCAAGAUUAUUUUUUUGGUCAAGAGACUCCAAGGUUAAGUUGUUAGGAAUUUAGCCAACAAUGUUUAUCAAUUUUGAUCAAAUGCUACGCAUACCACAUUGCUUUUACCCGGAUAUACAGGGACAACGACCUCCCUUCCACUAAUAAAAGAAACCACAAAUUAGUCUCAUAUAAUCUCGAAGACAUUUAUCAUCUUUGUAAUUUUUAAAACGCCAACUCUAUACAGGCCAAAUUCCUAACUAUACAACUUUUCUUAUGCUUUGAACAAAGGCAAGUGAAUUUAUGAUAAUUAAAAGUGAAACAAAAAGUUCCAGCACAUCACACAGUGUAGCAUAUGCUUUUGUAGUCAGGGGCCGAGCUAAGCAAACAAGGUAUUGAACUAAAAGUCAGAUAUUUGAAUUCAUCAGGAUAUCACCCCAUACCUAAAGUCAUGAUGGUUAGCCUGUUUUUAGUAUGUGACAAUACAUAUAUAUUGCACAAAGAUGGAUCGAUAUUGACAAUGCUAGAGCUAACUCAAUUCUGCAUUGCAGCCAACCUUCAUAUUCUUCUUGGGAAUUGUCUGGUAGGAAAUUUCAUUAAGGGAAAAGUUGAAUGGCUGAAGCAUGAAGAUCGACCAAAAUGUAGAAUGCAUAGAGAUGACAAAGGAAAACAAAAUAAAAAGAAGAAAACACCAUCCAUGUCUUCUUCCUCGAUGGAAAGCAGAUAGCCCUUUUACUUGUCAAUGUUUUAGUUAGUUCUAAGUAUGUUUGUUUAGUCAUACUUAGACAAAGAUAUAGAUGAUUCGACCAAAAAAAGACAGAUGUAGACAAUGUAAUCUACCUUUUGGAUAAAUCUCAGUGAUUCUAUAGAAGCAACUCUAAUUGAUUAACAAAUGACUUAAUUUCAAACUAGUGGAUGAUGAGUAUUUAAAUUCUAGGCAUUGUUGAACAAAUGGUUUAAGACCUCAGUUUCUGCAAUAUUAGGACUAGUUACUAGACAUGGAUUAUGCAUAAGUAAAGUAAUUGAAAUGGUAAAUUAUAAGAGGAGGAAGAAAGAAAUCUCAAAAAAAUAGGAAAAUGGCAUUGAAUGGAUUCUGCAAAAAGUCUCUCCUGAACAAUAGGAAGACUAAAAUAUAAAGCCAGAAUGUAUAUAAUAAAAUGAAGGGAACACCCAUCUGUAAGCCAAAACUAGCAAAACAAGGACCUAACAAACACACAAAUGGUAAAAUGAUGGACCAACUACGUCUGUAAGCCAAGAUACUAUUCUGCCCGAUUCCAAAACUAUCAAACCAAGGAGAUCCUGAGUUGCUCCAAAUUUUUGUCAAACCUGUAUACAUUGAGAGUCCAGAAGAUUCAAAUGGUUCCAACACCAUAUCAGAUUUAAAUCCUAGCUGGUAGCUUAAUUAUAAACUUGCCACUUGCGGUGUGUGCAAUGGAAUUUCAAGGGACUGUACAAGUAGCCAAUCUGACACCAUUCCUUUUCUGGAAUUAGGCAAAACAGGACUAAUAAAAAGAACUCAGGGCUAUAAUAGUUAUAAACUUGCAUCAUUCAACUGAUUAAUAUCCUAGAAGCAGAAUUAUAAUAAUCUCACAACUACGAACCUGCACACACUACUAAAGAAAAUAAAACUGCACAAAAAUCAGGACUCAUAAAAGUAAAAAGAAAUCAGGACUAGCAUAAGUAAACAACAACUAGAACAAACAAACAAACAAAGGUAGGCAUCUUUGUGGUUCUAGAACAAACAAAAAACUGGUUUAACCAGAAUGAUCAGAAAAUAAAACUGGUCCAACUGGUACAACUAAAGCAGUUUUGCCACUCAAAAAGUUCUUUGUGCUUGGAUCAGAUCUCUACUGUUACAAAUAUUACUCAAUCUAUCUUUUGGAUAAAUCUCAGUCAUUCUAAACAGUCAACAAAAAUAAGGACUAAUACAAGUGAAAAGAAAUCAGGAUUGGCAGAAGUAAAGAACAACUCGUAUAUAUGUUUGAAUCAUUUUGUACAAUUUCGUGGUUAUGACCUUGAAAUGAAUAAUUUCAAGUGAUCGACUUUACAAAUAAAAAAAAUACUAGAAUAAAGAAUCAUAAGGUUUGUAUCAUGAAAUAGAACCUCAACUUCUAUAGUCCAGCUGGUAUCUCAAAACCCGGUGAGGGCUGAAUUCUGGGAACAGGGGCAGAGUUUGUGCGGUAAUCUUCAAUUGGUUUCAAGCAAGAGGCACCAUCUUCAGAGCCCAAAGAUGAGCUAAGCACCUUCACCUUGGCAUGACUUGGUUCAGAUAGUUGUGGCUCCUGUACAAAUGGAUGAAGUAGGAGCUUUUGAGCGGUAAACCUUUCCCAUGAGUUGACUGCAAUACACUUCAUAAGAAAAUCCCUUGCCAAACCAGAGAUUUCAGUAGGGAUUUUGGGAGUUAUUUCCCCAGCAACCAUGUCCAGGAAAUCAUCAAGUGUCGAAUCAGGCUCCACAUCCCAGGGGGGCUUGCCUGUUAACAUCUCAAGCACAAUAGCACCAAGAGACCAAAUAUCAGAACACUGCUUCUGCACAUUAUCAAUCAAAGCAUCUGGGUCUGUAUACCUAGGAGUGCCUCUCCAUCCAUCCAUAUCAUCUUUGGUGCUCUUAGUCAAUCCGAAAUCAGCAAUCUUGGCCACAAAACUAGAACUACCACUGGUGCUAGUAUCACUAGGAACAAGAAGGAUGUUCUCCGGCUUCAAAUCACAGUGAACAUAAUCACAAUUGUGAAUAUGUAUAAGCCCUUCAAGUAUGCACCUUGUGUAGCUCCUCACAUCAGACUCAGGCAGCCCAUGACCUCUAUAGCUCUGAAUCAGACCAUCAAGGGUUCCUCCAGCAGCAAAUUCCAAAGCCAAGUUGAAUAUUUCUUCACCUGUGUCAUCAAUGGUUGUCAUUUCUUCACCCAAGUACUGAAUUACAAAAGGGGACCCUAUAAAAUCAGAGAGAAUGCCUGCCUCAUGCUGAAUGGAUUCUGAAUCAGAGAGCUUAGCAGAUUUGACUGCCAUGACUGGAGCUGGAGGUGUAUCAUUUAGAUUAAGCUCCCAAAGGGGUUUUUUCCAAAAAGCAAGAAAAACAGACCCAUAGCUUCCUUCUCCGAUCAUCUCCCCUCUCUCCCACUGAUUUCCAUCACCCCACCACAUCCUCUGCUUUUUCCCUCUUUCUUCUAAUUCUUGCUCUGCCUUCCGUUUCAUGAUUUCUUCACUGAAAAUACAAAAUAUUUCUUGGGUUAAUUGGAAUUGUAACUGAGAAUGAGCGGCUACACUUGAAUUCUUGAUUCGGAGAACAGGAAGAUGAACGAUUGGGGAUUAGGGUUUGAGGAAAUGAAGUUUCUGUCUCCAACGGUCGGGUUUUAAGUGCGCCAAUACGCGUGAAGUUACAAAUUUAUUUAUUUUAUUUAUUUUUACUUUGACAACGACAGCUAACUAACCUAGCCAGCUGCCAUAAAAAGACAAAAUUGAAGAAUUUUGAAAAAUUGUAGGCAAAAAAAUCUUUUGCAAAUACGUUUUUUACUUUUAACUUUAUUGUUGAAAUAAAAUCUAUUUAUUGUUUCAUUAAAAAUAUAUAUAUAAUUCUCAAACAAUAUACCUUGAUUAAUAUGAGGCAAUCCUUCAAACCAACUGCAAGAGUCACCAUUAUGAAAAGCGAAGCACUUGCAAUAUGAUGAGCAAUUUCAAUUGAGAAAAUAUAUAUUUGUUUAUAUACAUUAUAGAGAAAUUUUCUCUUUUUAAUAACUGAAAUAGGUAAUCAAAUCAAUCAUAUUAUAAGAAACUUUUCUCAUAGCUUGCUAUAUAUUUUUAAUUUUCUAGCACAUCAAAUCAUCUUAAAAUUUGAUAUGCCAUCAAACUUCAAAGUUUAAUAACUAAUAAAUUAAUAAUUACAACCCAAAAAUUAAUAACUUCGAAGUUCCACCAAAAUUCAAAUUAAAAAUUCUUAUUUGGUUGGUUAUUAGCCAAUGAGAAUACUAUACAUUUAAUAUAAAAAUAAGGGUAUAUUAACGAUUUGCUCUCUAAAUUUUUACCUAACUUUCAAUUAACCCCUUAUUCUUUUCUUUUUUUUUUAAUUUAAAGAAAAUUAAGGAUGUGAACUUUUUUUUUCCGCUAAUUUCCCUUCUCCGUCUAAAUCCACAACAUUUCAUUCAAUUUGCCGUUUAAAAUGAGGGCAAAAUGGUCAUUUUGUACAUUAAAAAUAAAUUAAAAUUAAAAACAGAAAAUUGAAAUACUCCAGCAGCAGAAACAGAAACAGAAAAUCAUUCCAUAUCUGUGGUGGUGGGCUUUGGGUAAACGUGGUUGCUGAUGACCUUAUUGGCGUUUGAUGAUGUGGUGGUUUCACAGGCUCCAGCAACAGUUGCUGAGGACUAUUAGUAUAAUCUGAAACAGAGCAAAAGCAUUGGACAAUUUGAUCAAACAUCAUCCUCUUCACUAACCUCUUCUUCAUAGGGAAGACACUGCCAGGUUUUGGUUUGAACAACCAUGGCUCAGCCUUGGUUUGAUCUUGAGAUGGGCUCAAAGUCAGCUUCAUGGGCUCCUUUGGGUUGUGCUCUGUUUUUAGGCAGAGGAGGUCUUCUUCCCCAUCUGGCUUCAAGUACUUCAACGCCUUCCUUUCAUCUGAAGUUUUCUUCAUUGCCAUCUCUCUCUCUCUCUCUCUCUCUCUCUCUGCAAACAAAAACUAUCAAGAAUGGAACUCUCUCUUAGAUUGCACAACCUUCUCUCACCCACCUUCAGACCCAAACUAGCAUCCGUUUCGGGUGGGGAUGGGGUGGUUGUAUGUAUGAUGGCGUUAGGCGGCGAUCUAGGGGUGAAUCUCGCAUGGGGAUGGGGCUGGGGGAUCGGUCUCUGAGCCCCUUUGAAGUCCACACCUUGUUGUGCCGAUCUUUGUAGCCGGAGGCCCUCGAGACGUGGAUGAUGCAGGAGUAGUGCCACUCGCGGAAGCGGUUGUCAGCCCUCUUGAGGGCUAGACACGAUGGGUCUUGAUCUUCGUCGUCGGCAGCUGGGUUAGUGGCACUGCUGCUGCCGUUUCCAAUUCUUGGGAACUUACAUGCUUGGGCUUGAAUCUCCUCCUCGUCCAUAUCAGUACUUCCAUGCCUUUCUCAAACAAAGACUCAUUCAAUUUGGGGAAUUUUUUUUUUUUUGGCUGGGUUUUAGGGUUUUUAGCUGUGUUGUGAUGGGGUUGAUGUGCUGGAGGAGAUAGAGCUGGGGGAGGGAGGCGAUAGGAAUGCCAGUUCAGUUUUUUUUUUUUGUUUUUUUGUUUUUUUUUUUUUUUUGUGUGUGUGUGUGGUCAAUUUUCUUCUUUUUCUUCAAAAAGUUUUUUUUUCCCAAACAAAUCAUUUAACUAAAAAUUAGAUGAAAUAAUGAGAAUUUAGACGGUCGGGGGAAAGUGGCAAAAAAAAGAAGUUCAUAUCCUUAAUUUUCUAUAUAAUAAAAAAGAAUAGGGGGUUAAUUGAAAGUUAGGUACAAUUUCAAGGGGCAAAUCACUAGUAUACCCUAAAAAUAAAUACAAGUGGUUGGUCUUGUUUAGUUUAGGCGAGUUUACAACCAUUUCAGUUUACAGUUUCUAAUUUUUCAGUUUUAAUUUGUAAAUAAAUGAUGAAAAAAAAAAUGUUGAAAGCAAAAAAAGAAAAAGAAGCAAGACCCCAACUCCAAAGAGAAGACCAAACAAGAAAUAACUAGCAACUUAGACAUAGGCGAAACUAAAUGAAGUCCAACAAAGGAAGCCUAAAGUCCAAUUUUUCUCACAAUUGUACAAACUUUCCAAAGUGCCCUAAACUAUUAGGACAAGAAUAAAAAUAAAACUAAAAACGUUUGUGGCAUUCAAGGUUUCACUUAUAAUUGAGGGCUUAAUUGGAUUUGGAAAAUGAAUAUGAUUAUAUAUAAAUUUUUUUUUGGACAGAAAUAUAAUUAGAUAUCUUGUGUAGCUAUGAGAUUUGUGUUGCAACUAAAAAUGUUGAGGAAACACAAAAGGCUUGUAGUUCAAGUGGAAGAAGAAGAAAAAAAAAAAAUCACAAAAAACAUGAAAAAAGUAAUAUAUAAUGGAUGUAGAAAGCGUCUCCUAAACAAUAGACGACUAAAACCAACAACAAAUUCAAAUAUUUGUAUUUCAAAUACAAAGUCAUACAGUCCCGAUCUGUUGGACCACAGGAGUCCAAGAGAUUUGUGGUCACUCACCGUUGGAUGUAAAUUCAACGGUUCACUCAAUCUUGAACUAAUUAUUGAAAUUUAAGGAUAAAAACUUAAUUAUGAAAAUUUUUUAUAUAAAAUUAGCACACUAGUGUCUGUGGUGUUUUUAGCCUUACAAGAAUCCCAAUUCACUCACCUGAUAAUUAUGUACAAAAUGAAAGAAGUUGAGGUUCUACCUAAAAAUUAAUUUGCAAUGGGAGGAGUAUUUCAACUCUUUAUAAGACCUUGCUAGGUUUGUCAACUUUCCAAUGUGGGACUUUUAUCUUCAUAUUCCCACAUGCCCCCACACGUGUGGUGAAUUUUCAAGCCUAGCACGUGGACAACACAUAUUGAAUGACAUGGAGCACGUGUGGCCGUUGGGCUUUCAUACGUAGGCUAACCUGUUUUGAUACCAUGAAGGAAGUUGAGGUUCCACCCCAAAAUCAAUUGGCAAUGAGGGGGAGUAGCUCAACUCCUUAUAAGCCCUUGCUAGGUUUCUCAACUUUUCAAUAUGAGACUUUUUACCUUCAUAUUCUCACAAAAAAAGUGACUGAAUUAAAUUACUAUUCUUAAAUUACAACAAUUACUAAACUACUACCCAUUGGCCAAUUGGUUUUUUUAGAUUUGUUAUUUUAAAAUUAAAAUAAGAUAACAGGUAGCUGUGCUCCAUAAAAAUAGGACCCAUUAUCUUAUUUUGGAAUUAAAAAAUAUAAUGUAUAGUUGUAUCCUAUAAAAAUAGAAUCCAUAAUCCGAUUUUUUUUAAAUAUGAAAAAGUGUGAAUUUACCAUAUUAUCCUAAUUUAAUUAAUAAUUUUAAUUCUUAAUGUUUUAUGUUUUAUUGACUGAAAUGGUCCCCCAACGAUUGCCCCAGUAUCAUUUUGGUCCGUAAACUAAAAAUUUCAUUUCAAUGGUCCUUUAACUCUUCAUUUGGUAUCAAAACAGUCAUACCGUCAAAGUCUGUCAAUUUUAAUGUUAAAUUGAGGGGUAAAACUAUCCAUAUAAAUUAAAAUAUUAAUUAAAAAAAUUUAAAAAUUGAAUCUCACCAUAAAUACCUACUGUAGUUAGAGGCCAGGAACAAGGAAAAGAUGUGAUUCACCACCAUCCUAAACCCUCUCUCUCUCUCUCUCUCUCCCCUUCCAUAAGCCUCCUCUCCCACCAAAAACUUCUCAAGACACCCACUACCUCCUCUCCCAGCUAGAUAGAUCCUAUCACAAAAGCAGAAUUAGCAAUGAAUAGGAAGGAAAUUGGAGAAUAAGAAGGAAGAUAGAGUCGACCAUGACAUCAGUUGGCUGGAAGUAGAUGAAGAGGUAAUAGCCGAUCACAAGCAUAAUUGAAGUUCCAACUCCAAAAUUGCAAAAACCCAAAAUCAAACUCAGAAUACCCAUCUCUAAUUUGCCCUUAAAAUUUAUGUUUCCAAUAGCUGUCUACCAAAGGGUUUUAGAAUUUUUCUUAUUUAGUUCCUAAGAUAGUAUUUGAUUCAUUGAGCUGAUGCUACUACAUGGACAAGGACACUUGAGAUGUUUCAUCAGAAUGCCCUACCCAUGAAUUUCUUUCCAUUUCUGGAAAAUUCAAGGAAUGUGCCAACAACUCUUAGAGACUUUAAAUCCAUGGAUUUGUUCCCUCAACAAAUUGGUUUUGGCUCCUCUGUUCCCUUAGAAGAGGUUCCAUAGAUCCAAUUUCUGUAAAUUUAAAGGCAUUGUUGCAGCAAAUGAUUUUGUUCAGUUUAUUGCACAUGGACAAGUAGGAAGUUACAUAUAGCUAGGUCUGUUAUAACUUUAAUGUGAAGUAUUUCUUAGGCUCAUUAUGGCUUGUUCAUCAUGUGUCAAUUUGAAGAAAUAUUCCCCAGGAGAGCCUCCAAAGGCACAAAUGACUACAUUCUAUGGCAGACAAGUAAUAGUGUUCAACAGAAUAAUUGACAGAGAGAGGAAUUCGGUGAGUUGUAGGGGUAGAUAGACUUUGAUGAUCUUGCCCCUCAAUUUCACGGAAUAAUUGAUGGACUUUGACGGUAGGACCAUUUUGAUACUAAAUAGGGAGUUGAAAGACUAUUGAAAUGAAAAUUUUAGUUGGUGGACCAAAAUGAAAUUCGAGCAAUAGUUGGGAGACCAUUUGGGUCAAUAACCCAUGUUUGCAUUAACAAAGGGCAUUUUCUGUUAUUUCGAAUGUUUUACAAUUCUCUGUCUUUUGUAAGUCUUAAGUUACAACAAUAUUAAUCAUGAUUCUCUUCUAAUUGAUGCUUGUAACCGGGGUUAGGCAUUACAUCUUCCCGUUCUUUUCUGUUUGUUGAUUCAUAAAGUUCCAUCGUACCGUCGAGGUUCCUAAAACAAAAGUCUUAAGUUACAACAAUUUUAUUAUUUAUUUAUGAAGAAGAGGUAAAUAGAACCAGUCAAUUAAUUGUCAGAAGUGUAGAAGUUAAAUUGUCUCAAACUUUGAGGACAAAAAAAAAAAAAAGUUCCUUAUCAUCAUCAUCUAGUCCAUUUCGGCUUCUUUUCCCUCCUCUCCUUUCUCACGACAAAACCAAAUCAACCACAAAACACAGAGAUGGCCAUGCCACCAUGGCCUUCUCAUCAUCACCUUCCAUUCUCUCUCCACAUUGCGCAAUUCACCACCCUCUUGUUCUCUCCCACACUUCUCUACGAGGACGGAUCCAUGCUGCUCUAGCCCAGUGUUGACUUUGGAGAGAGACAAAUUAGGCUUAGUUGUGUAAGCUUAAUCCAAAAAAAAUUAAAUAAUAGCCCACCAUUUUUUCUAGAACGUAGCCCAUAUUUGCAGCCAAAUACUUUAAUACUUCAAUUAUUAUUAUUUUUUUCUCUCUCUUCUUUGUUUUAUUUAGCUUUUGAUUUGGCUCUAAUAAUGUUUAUAUAUCUCUCUGAUUUUAUUUUUUUUCGAAUUUAUUGAUGUUGCUUCUUUUGGAAAUAUUGAAAUAUGGACUCUCCCUAAUUAAACUACUCUGCUAACCCAAAGUCCUCGAGCUUCAAAUUGUUCUUCUUCUGAGCCUUUGAAUUUUGGUUUUUCUGGGUUUUCUUUGUUUAGAUAUCUCUCUGAAAAUAGUAUUUUUCUUUUAAUGAAUUCUGAAAAUAGUUUUUAAUCUAGGGGAAAUAUACUAAAUUAGUCAAAAAGUAUGCCACUUUUAUAUAUAUAUAUAUAUAUAUAUAAAGCAAAAGGCAAAGAUUGGUGAAACAUUCAAAAACCAGAAAAUGACCUUAGUUAAUUCAAAUAUUAAGAAUUAAAAUUAUUAAUUAAAUGAGGAUAAUAUGGUAAAUUCUUAUUUUUUAUAUUAAAACAAAAUUAGAUAAUAGGUCCUAUUUUUAUAGAACACAACUACCUAUUAUUUUUUUAAUAUAUAUAUAUAUAUAUAUAACAAAAGGUAGAAAAUGAUGAAAUAUUCAAAAUAUCAGAAAAUACUCUUAGUUAAUUCAAAUAUUAGGAAUUGAAAUUAUUAAUUAAAUGAAGAUAAUAUAGUAUAUUCACAUUUUUUCAUAUUAAGACAAAAUUAGAUAAUAGGUCCUAUUUUUAUGGAACGUAGCUACCUAUUUUUUUUUAAUUCUAAAAUAAAUUAAAAAUUUUUAUUAAAAAAUCUCUCGCAACUUCGCAAGCACGAAAAUGCGUGUAGAAAGGCUAAUUAAUCCGAAGAAGAUAUUGCUUUUGAUAUAUAUAUAUACAGUCCCCUUCUAUUGAGGGAUUCCUCAAAUAAUUUUAUUUGAGGGACGUCCUUUAGGGUACCCUACCAUUUUUUUCCCAAUGAUCCAAACAAUCUAUUUUUUAGGUCUUCAUUCAUAAAUCAUUCUUACAAAAAAUUAGACAAAUCGGAAACUAUUUCGACAUCCAAUUGUGUCUUACAAAAUCAAUGAACACGGUGCUUCAAGAAAAUGCUAAAAUUUCAAUAACUUAAUUGAGUGGUCAAAUGAUAUCGGAUUCAAGUGAUUUUUUGUAGAGAUGAUCUUUAAAUGAGUAUCUACAAAAUAGACGGUUUUGAUUAGUGAAAUACAGUCCGGAGUGGGGCCUACAAGGGGUGUCCCUCAAAUAAGCUUAUUUGAGGGAUCCCUCAAUGGAAUCUCUCUGUAUAUAUAUAUGUUUAAAAAUAGGGCUUAUAAUUGAUCCCAAAACAAAACAAAAAUUAGCCCACCCCCUGUAAAUAUUCCUGGGUCCGCCAUCUUCUCACUUCAUUACCCAAAACUGCUACUGCCUCUUAAGCUUAUCAACUUUUCAAACGCUUCCAAAAUUCCCCGUGAUUAAUAACAAAAGAAUCCAAUGCGCUGAAAAAGGCUCUUCAGCUUCAAGUUUUGAUCCCAAGUUCGGAGUUUCAGUCUACAAGCCCAAGUCCUAUGAAGUUCUUGUCACUGAUGCUGCAAAAUCGCUUGCUUAUGCUCUUGAAGAUGGAAAGACCCGCUUGGAGAUUGAUUUUCCGCAAGUGUUUUUGCCCUUUUUGUUUGGAUUUUUUGAAAAGUCGAUGAGAAUUUGUGGAAGGUUUUGAAGUAGAUAUUGUUUGGAUUUUUGGUCUUUGGGUUUUGUUUGUUUCCGUUAUGAUGUUGAGCACACUGCAAGUUUGGUACUAUGAAUAACUUGCCAUCUAGAAGAAAGAUGGAAAAUAUCUUAAAAAGGUUGAGAACCUUGUGAAAAUGAAUAAAU